UUCGGGAACUCAUUCUUUGCAUAGCAUCUUACAAUUUCUGUCAAAGCUAAAUCAUCAGUAAUUAGUCAUUUCACUUGUAUUAGGAAAGAAGAUAUAAGGUGGUGUUAGUUUUGAUUAAGAGAUAAGGUCUCAAUGUUGAAUAUAUGUAAGAAUCAAUAAGAUCUGACAUCUAAAUGUUGAAUUGCUCUAUCCGUAGCUCUGAGCUACAGAGCUCUCUGCCCGAAUUACCGACUUUAGGAGGUAAUUAAACAAGGACAGUCCUUAUAAACAACAAAAAAGCUGAAAAUUAUUUUACAAAAAAAAAGAGGAAAAAAAGGAGGUAAAUCAUAAAUUUAAUAUAAUAAAUGAUGACUCGUAACUUUUGAAAUCAUUUAAAUAUCAAUUUUGACUACACAGACCAUUCAGAUGCACCUCUUAAGAUUCAAAUUUACGACUUAUUAAUUAAGAGCUAUUAAGUCUUCUUCUGACUUACAAACAAACAGUCUUAGUGUUUGAUUGCAUCUUAACAGCCCACCUCUUAAUGCAUUUUAACAACUCACAUUUUUUUAUUAAGAGGUCCUCUGAAUAGUUAAGAUACAAAUAUGAGUCUAAACUAUUCAGAGGAACUCUUAAUAUAAAUAUGUGAGUUGUUAAAUGCAUUAAGAGGUGAACUAUUAAGAUGCAAUCAAACACAAUACUAAUUACAAGUCUGAAUAAUUGGUGUUCCUAUAGCUUCUUCCCCCACGGCCCCUAUUGUUCGUAUUUCUAGGUUGGGUCUCAUGGCCAAAGUUAAGGACAUUCUCUCAGACGAUGGUUGGCAACUGCCUCAAUUUAAUCACAACAUCAUGCUUUAAUUUCGGCAAACUUUUGAUUUCAGCAUAUGUUUCAAUAUCUCCCGUGAGGACUAAAUUCAAUGGGGACCAUCCAGAAAGGUCCAGUCAAAACUUCUCUGAUCUAGCACUCGAUCAGAUCCAAAAGAACUCAUGUCCCGUGGCACAAGCUGAUAUAGCAUAAAUUGCAGGUCCCCAGGUUCUCCUCAACUUUACAAAAGCUUCAAACCCUUGAGGCCUUGAUCGCAUUGCAAAAUAUUCUCAUAUUGUGGAUCCUAGAUGUUGUGUGUGCACUCUUUACAAUGAUUGUAAUGAAAAUCAUGCUCAUCUUUUCUUUGAAUGUGCCAAACCCGAUAUAGGCCCGAAGUGCUAUAUGCCGCAAGCCCAUAGACCCGCAAGGCAACAAUAUCAAUAACGCGCAGCCCAAAAAAACAACAACUUAACAAUAAUCUUAACUUAAAACCCAACAAUAAAUAUAUUUUAAAUCAAUCCAAAUGAAAUACUAAUAAAUACCGCAUUCAAAUAAUGGAGACGCAGCUCCUCGAAACUAAGAGUUUUAUCAAAAUUCAUCAACAAAAGAAAACAUCUAAAACUAAACUCCAGCUAUUCCAAGCGUAUCAAAUAAAGGCUUAGCUUUCAACGAUGGGACCUGCAAAAAUCUGUAAGGGGGUCAGCGAUGAAGCCCAGCAAGUAGCAAUCCUCUCUAUCUAGCCGAAUCUAGUACAAUUUGCAAAAUACUUUUUCGAAAUAACUUUUUGUUCAAUAACAAUAGUACAAAAGCUUUCAAAACUAAAACAAUUCAAAAAUGAUUUCAAUGUAUAUCAUAAAUCUUUUAAUCCACAGCCUUAGCGACUAAGGUUACAAUAGCCCUGUAACACGGCCCAAAAGUUCGAUAACGUUAUGAUACGCACCCUACUAAGGUAUCUAUAAAAAUGCACGAUCCCCCAAGGGCAUCUAAAAGAUGUGCGCCUUAGUAGGUCCUCUAUUAGCUCCGGAACUAAACGUAAUCAAUAACGGGUUCUAUACAUAGUCAGACUGAGGAUUUCAAAAACUUUUCUCAAUAUUAUCGAUAAUAUAAAUGAUAUUUUUUCACAGUUCAAAAUCAUAUAAUCUCAUUCACAGUUCGAAAAAUAAAUACUUGAUCCAAAUUUUGAAAUAAAAGAACAUAACAAUUUAAUUUAAAUGGAAGCCUUAAAUAAAAAAUAACGAAUUUUGAAACUGUACAUUUAGGCAUCCGAAUAAUUAAUAAGACAUACUUAAAAGUAACGAUAAUCUUAAAAACACUAAAUAGUUCGAAAAACCACUUACCU
RNAcentral lists this long non-coding RNA (2119 nucleotides) under Panax ginseng (ginseng). Its description in RNAcentral is "long non-coding RNA (PGIN_LNC005072)". Lineage: Eukaryota; Viridiplantae; Streptophyta; Magnoliopsida; Apiales; Araliaceae. The record is from RNAcentral.